CCUACGGGAGGCAGCAGUGAGGAAUAUUGGUCAAUGGACGCAAGUCUGAACCAGCCAUGCCGCGUGCAGGAAGACGGCUCUAUGAGUUGUAAACUGCUUUUGUACGAGGGUAAACGCAGAUACGCGUAUCUGUCUGAAAGUAUCGUACGAAUAAGGAUCGGCUAACUCCGUGCCAGCAGCCGCGGUAAUACGGAGGAUUCAAGCGUUAUCCGGAUUUAUUGGGUUUAAAGGGUGCGUAGGCGGGCGGAUAAGUUAGAGGUGAAAUCCCGAGGCUCAACUUCGGAAUUGCCUGUGAUACUGUUAGGCUAGAGAGUAGUUGAGGUAGGCGGAAUGUAUGGUGUAGCGGUGAAAUGCUUAGAGAUCAUGAAGAACACCGAUUGCGAAGGCAGCUUACCAAGCUACUUCUGACGUUGAGGCACGAAAGCGUGGGGAGCAAACAGGAUUAGAUACCCUAGUAGUC
Molecule: ribosomal RNA, 460 nt
Filed under: uncultured bacterium
Lineage: Bacteria
Description: partial 16S ribosomal RNA
Rfam family: Bacterial small subunit ribosomal RNA
Source: RNAcentral